CUGAUCGCAAAGUAAAAAUAAACACGAAUUAAGAUUAACGAAUUGAGUCAAAGUUCUUAGGUUAAAUAAAAAUGGAGAAUGAAUCGGACAUUCAUGCACUUUUGAACUACAGCCUCCAGUCACCAUUGCUGAAACUACAAUGCAUGGUGAAGUUUCGAGAAGAAAUGAAGUGAGAGAUCUUAUAUGCCAUGAAAUACAAACACAUCGACAAAGCUUAUAAUUGAUCAAAUCAAAAAUUACAAAAUAUCAUUUAGCAUGAAAAAUUUAUUUAAAAAAAUCACCGUACACAAUGAGCAACAUACAUACAUGUGUAACUAAAAAUUUUCUGAAUUCAAUUACAAAAACAAUAUGUCCUAAAGAGUGGGUUGAAAAACCAAACAACUACAAUCAAUAACAAAAAUAAAGAAUGAAAAUCAA
Anastrepha obliqua is the source of this 417-nucleotide long non-coding RNA. RefSeq lists it as uncharacterized. The transcript has 2 exons. NCBI's taxonomy places the organism in Eukaryota, Metazoa, Arthropoda, Insecta, Diptera, Tephritidae. The record is from RefSeq and is a predicted model, not a curated record.